This 226-nucleotide ribosomal RNA is filed under the name uncultured bacterium. Its description in RNAcentral is "partial 16S ribosomal RNA". It matches the Rfam family "Bacterial small subunit ribosomal RNA", at positions 794 to 1018 of the family's 1533-position model. The record is from RNAcentral.
UCCACGCCCUAAACGAUGAGAACUAGAUGUUGGAGGAAAUUGAUCCUUUAGUGUCGCAGCUAACGCAAUAAGUUCUCCGCCUGGGGAGUACGACCGCAAGGUUAAAACUCAAAUGAAUUGACGGGGGCCCGCACAAGCGGUGGAGCAUGUGGUUUAAUUCGAUGCAACGCGAAGAACCUUACCUGGCCUUGACAUCCUUGGAACUUUGCUGAAAAGCGAAGGCGCC